Molecule: long non-coding RNA, 903 nt
Organism: Herpailurus yagouaroundi (jaguarundi)
Lineage: Eukaryota; Metazoa; Chordata; Mammalia; Carnivora; Felidae
Exons: 3
Source: RefSeq, a predicted model, not a curated record
UCAUUGCACCAAAAAGGCCCAUCUACACUGAAGAACCUUCAGGGGAAUUUUGACUCACAAAUUCAAUGACUUUACAUUAGGAUGAGAAAUAUUUCAGAGAGUGCACAAUUAAUGUUCGUGUCAAUUGUGAAACAAUUUUCGCAAAAAUUUUAUCCGCCUUGAAGCAGCUAGCAAAAUUAUUUGUAAAAUGAAGUCUCAAAAACUUUGUUCCAGACAUACUUUGCUACUUAAUUAUAUGAGAAGUGCCUGAGUGUGUUGCUUUUCUAUUGUUCUGUAACAAAUUACUACAAAUUAAUGGUUUAAAAUAUCACCCAUUUGUUAUCGUAGUCGUGUAGGUCCGGAGUUGGUAUGGUAUAGCAGAGUGCUCUGCUUAAGGGUCUCACACUGUUGAAGUAAAGGCGUCUGCAAGUGGAAUCUCAUUGAAGAUCUGGGUUUCUCUUCCAAGCCCCUGGCUGUUAGCAGAAUUAAUGUCCUUGUGUUUCUUAGUCUGAGGUUCUCUUUGUUUUGCUAGUUGUUGGCCAGAGGCUUUUGCCAAAUAGCUCUUCUAUAAGCUUUCUCAUACUUACAGUCUCUGACUUCAUGGAGAUCCCUUUUAAGGAUUCAUCUGUGUGUUUAAAUCACCAACUUUUCACUCUUUCCACCAGGAACUUAGAGUCAGAAUUCUGGGAUAAGACUGGUAGAGCAUGAUGCCCACCUUACUACGAAUAAAAAUUGUCUGUCUUUCUAAGGAAUUUUAUAUUAAUACUCAGCACUUCAGGAAAAUUUCAUGGAAGAGCCCAAGACAUUUUCAAAUUGGAGAACCGAUUGGAUGAAUGAGUUUGAAUUCCAGAAAAAGAAAUGGGAACAACCAGUUAGCAUUCUUCAUGCCACUAAGGAAUCUUCCUUCCAAAUUAUGUGGAAGGU